GUCUACGGCCAUGCCACCCUGAACAAGCCUGAUGUCUGAUCUCAGAAGCUAAGCAGGGUUGGGCCUGGUUAGUACUUGGAUUGGAGACCACCUAGGAAGACCAGGUGCUGUAGGCG
RNAcentral lists this ribosomal RNA (116 nucleotides) under Pteropus alecto (black flying fox). Lineage: Eukaryota; Metazoa; Chordata; Mammalia; Chiroptera; Pteropodidae. The record is from RNAcentral.